This 506-nucleotide ribosomal RNA is filed under the name Prosarthria teretrirostris. Its description in RNAcentral is "partial 16S ribosomal RNA". It matches the Rfam family "Bacterial large subunit ribosomal RNA", at positions 1825 to 2597 of the family's 2925-position model. The record is from RNAcentral. Lineage: Eukaryota; Metazoa; Arthropoda; Insecta; Orthoptera; Proscopiidae.
GUCUUUUUGAAAUAUAAUUUAAAGUCUAACCUGCCCAAUGGUUUAUUUAAAUGGCCGCGGUAUAUUGACCGUGCAAAGGUAGCAUAAUCAUUAGUCUUUUAAUUAAAGGCUGGAAUGAAUGGUUUGACGAGGAAUUGACUGUCUCUGUUUAAUAAUUAAAAUUUAAAUUUUCAGUGAAAAGGCUGAAAUUUUGAUUAAGGACGAGAAGACCCUAUAGAGUUUUAUAUAUAGUUUUAUAAAUUGUUUAGUUUUAAUUUUAAAUUUAUAUUUUAUUUAUAUUUGGUUGGGGUGACAGGGGAAAUAAUUAAACUUCCCCUUUUUGUUACAUUUAUUUAUGUUAUGUGAUCCUUAAUUUUGGAUUGAAAGAUUAAAUUACCUUAGGGAUAACAGCGUAAUUAAUUUUAAGAGUUCUUAUCGACAAAUUAGUUUGCGACCUCGAUGUUGGAUUAAGAUUAAUUUUAGGUGUAGUGGCUAAAUAAUUAGGUCUGUUCGACCUUUAAUUUCUU